UGACUAAGCUGUCAAUCAAAGUACUUGUUGUACAUGACUGUGACACUGAAUCCAUGUAGAACAAGGAUUUUGAUUGGCAGUUGGAAA
Molecule: microRNA precursor, 87 nt
Filed under: Anolis carolinensis (green anole)
Lineage: Eukaryota; Metazoa; Chordata; Lepidosauria; Squamata; Anolidae
Description: microRNA aca-mir-5443 precursor
Source: miRBase by way of RNAcentral